GGGAUGUAUGCUCCAAGGUUGUGCCCACUCGGCACGACCCAGGUUCCAUGCUACAGGCCUCUGCUUGUCCAGACCUGAGGGUCAGAUUCAGAUGGUGCAAAUGUUUAAGACCUGGGUCUUCAACGAGAUGAAUUAUCAGCUAUUUCAUAGCUGCAGUGUUGGAUAUGCCGAGAUGAUAAAAGCAACAGCAAUCAGAAUCAACAGUUGAAACGACGUGGCAGACACUGUGAAUGCUAUGAACUGCUGUGCUGAGCAGCAGGAUUCCUGUGUCCUGGCGCAAUGCCCAUGGGGAUUCAUGCUUUCAGAGGGUCACGCCUCAGGAACACGUAGAAGGGCAAGCAUUUCAUCCGGCAGGGCACUGAUUUAAUCUGCACGCAUGUUUGGCUGUAAAACUAGCUCCUCCCCCUUACCAUUUUUGAGUCGCUGCCGGACUCAAAUUCCACAGAUUCUGGAAGGUGUCCAGGAACUCGUUGAUUUGUCAAACUUAUGGCUACACACAGCUGGAAUGGAGACGGACUCCACUGAAGAGACUCAUACAGGACAGGAGGGAAUUUUAAGAGGAUAACCCUGAUAUUCCCUGGCCAUUGAAAUCGACUACUUGUGUCAGAAUACAAAGCUACAUGAGAUGUGGUCCUUGUCCUCAAUAAGCACGCGAGUCAGGGAGUUGGAGGGGAGAUUAUGAGUAAGGAAGAAAUAUAGAGGUGAAGAGGGGAGGUGUCCAAGCUGGAGGGUUCUCAAGGGAGAGGGAAGAGUCUGGAGGCUUACGGAGAAGAUAGCUCUUGGGGGUUUUGCCCUUUGAGCCUCUCACAGAGGUCCUGGGCCAAGGAGGACUUUGCAUUUUCCAUCAGGGUCAGCCUGGUGUCACCCAAACACCUAGAGGAGUGAGGAGACGCCAGAAAUCCCAGGUUGUGUGACAGCAUCUGGGUAGGCACCGCAAGGGACUAAAGAUGCUACUUGCAACCAAGGAUGAUCCCCAAGACAAAAAAUAUGCAUUAUAAGAAUUAUAUUUUGGUCCUCAAACUUCUGGUUCUAUAAAUGCUGUUCUCACUGUCUGGGAAGUAAGAUUUGGACCCGGCCAGUGGAAAUUCAGUUUCUUCAUUUGUCACUCGAUGCCUGUGAAAACUUUGCCAAAAGCCUGACUUCUUGGAGCUUUGGUUUUCUCAUCUAUCAAGUGAGAAUAGUAAUAAUAAUAACAAUAAUGCCUACCUCACUGAUCUCUUAGGGUUGUUAUGAGACUUAAAGGGUGCUGUGCAAAGUCUGAAACGGUGCCAUAACUCUUUACAGUCAUUAUUAUUAGUAUUGGCAAAAAUGUCCAUUUCUGCACCCCCUUCCAUUUGAGUGGUGAGCGUUUUCCUUGCCCUGCUAUUAAGAGGUCACUCGUGUCAAUGCUGAGAGGCCCAUGGAAGCCUGACAGCUUGAUGUUGCAUCUGUGAGAAGUGAUUCAUUGGAGCAAUCUCCCCUUAAGUUCAGAUGAAUGCAUUAAUUUUUAGAAGCAAAUCUGUUUGAAUUGUGGCUUGAUGUCUAAUGCUUGGAGGAUUAUAUAAUUGAAUUGUAGAUGCUAAAUUGCAUCUUCUGAAAUACUGAGAAAUAGUCCCAUUCUCAUAUAGGCUUAACAUCCAUCUAGAAUAUUCCAAUUGCUUGUUACUAGGAGAUAUGUGUGUUACAUGGCAAGCAUGUGCUCAUGUGGACUCACCCACCUGUGAGGAUGGCAUAGGUGAGGAAAGAAGAAGAUGAGAAAGGUUUUAUAGGGUAAACUCAAUUGUAAAAACUAUUACAUGAUGGUGGACAAUUUCAGCUUCAAUUCACCUGAUGAUGACUCUGGCUUCAAUAAUUAAUGACCCUGUUAUUAGAUUUCUGAGGCAGACAGCAUCUCAUUGCAAGGGACCAUUUUGAUGAAUGAAUAAUCAUAAUAAAUACAAACCACUGGCCAGAGGGUCAACUUCUACUGUCUGCUUAGCUGGAACAUGAAUGAACCCAGCCAAGAUUGCAACAUUCUCAUGGCCAUUCUUUUGGAAUUCCAAGUAGGAGAAGAACCUGGAGGGUCAUUAUGCUGUGUCCUUUGUCUUCAGGCAAGAUUAUCUCCAAACCAACCCAAUGGGGUAGAACCCACAUUGACACUCUCCUGGCAACAGGCUCAAGGCUAUUGGGAAAUCUUCCGACUUGUGUCAAAUAUAACAUUUGUCUUUCAUUUAGUUGAGACCAAUCUACAUAAGUCCAGGUUAAAGGGAAGCUUUUCCCGCCCUCCAGAAGACACAGGCAGUGGCUCAGGUGACCUGCCAGCAUGGAACCUGUCUCUCUCAACAAGAUUGAAAACAUCAAACCAAACCUGAAGCACUGAGAGGUUGGGUAACCAGCUCUGGUCACUGAGUUGGUGAGGGAUGGAUUCAGAAGAGGUCUCCAAUUGUGACACCGCAGAGGACCUGCUCUUGGCCACCACACUCUACCAGCUCUGCAAGAAGGGGGAAGAAAAUAGGGCUGUUUUGAGGAGAUGUGGCUGAGAAAACAGAAAAAGAGAAUUACAGGCCUGAAAUCCCAGCACUCUGGGAGGCUGAGGCCCCUGGCGCUGGUUCUCUCUGGAGGUUGAGUUUCCGUGGGGAGAGAAGAGUGCCCAGCGUGACCACCGUUGGCUGACUUCCCAUGCAUUAUUCCUUGUUUCCCCCGCUGGGGCCCAGCCCACCAGCCCCACAGUGCAUGAAGCCACUUAUCACCAAGGUUCCCAGAGAGGACGGGCUGGCCCAAGUCUGCAUUGUCACCUGCUCUGGGGAAAACAAAGCCCUCUCCCCCGCCCUCCCCACAGCAUGCUGGGCACAGGGCCAGCCCGUUCUAUGUUUUCAGUAAAUUUUCAAAACUGCUGGUUUUGGUGGCAGCUUUUGCAGUGAUUAUCUCAUUAGGGGCUUGGCCCUGAAACACCUUAUUUAUUGUGGAUUGAAAAAAGUUCACCUUUUCAAGCAAAAAAAAAAAAAAAAAAAAAAAACAGAAGAAAUAAAUAAAAGAACCAGACUGUAGUUUCCCUGGAAAAUUUUCGCUUGUGGGAAAAUACCUCCCUGGCCCGUAGAGAGACGCCAUCACCAACAGUGUGGAGUUAUCAGAUGGGACUGGUCCAGCUUUGUGGGGCCGGGGCACACAGUGCCAAUGUCCAGGUAGUUUCCAAACCGUGUUUUGUUUCCUCUGUCCUCUUUAUAAACCCACGGAUUGAACCUCAUGGGCCCACAAGUUCCUGAUUGCUUCGUAUAUAUUGUACAGAUUUUUUCAGGAAAAUAAAAUAGAUCUUGCUCUACCCUGACAGAGCAGGGCCGAUAUUCUCUAGAAGAGAGGAGAACUCUAGAAUGGAUGGCAGAACUCUGAGUGUGUAACCCAAACAGCAUGCUGAAAUAGUAAAACUCUGCCGCAGGGGCAGAUGGCUGCUGGGAGAAUAUUUAUAGCAGGGAUCUAGAAAUAACCGUAUGGGAAAAGCCUUCUGAGGAGGAACGGAACAAGAGUCUUCGGGGUGGCACUUGGAGACACUCUUGCUCUUGCCUGAGGUCCUGGAGGGCUGCAGGCCGACCGCUGCACGGGAGAGAAUAUACGUGGUAUUCACAGGGUACACAGAAGUCGUAAUACUUCAUGUAGAUCUGUGCCACACAGAUGUGAGAGCUAGGACUUGGAAACAGGAAGAGAAGUGGGAGGAUGAUUAGGAGCCUAAUUGGUAAAUGUAGUACAGUCAAGGCAGACCCCGUAAAAGGACCGGGCACUGCAGAGCUGCAGGACAAGAGCCUGGGGACACGACAGUCAACCAGCCCAUGGGCAUCAUGGAAACAGCACUUUGCAGGCACCUGAGUGAAGCACAGGAAGGAAAUGCAGACACAGGUGAAGGAGCACGGGGUUGGGUUAGAGCCAGGCAGCAUCCCCCCAGCCGCUCCAUGCUAAAGCCUUCAUCAAUUGCCCAGAGAGUGGGGGUUCUCAGUUAACGCUGGAACCAUACAGCAAUGAGGCCUGGGUACUACUUGUAAUUUUCUGUUUAUUUCUAACUUUAUGAACUGCGUCAAGUAUACUUCCUAGCAUGGGUUCAGUACUUUGCAACAAAUCUUUCUGCCGUGGAUAUAAAUUCAUGAGCUUCAGGUUUCAUUAAAGAGAAGUACACAAAUGAAGUACCCAGACUAACAUUUGAAAAUUUAAUUUUAUGUUUGUUUUUAUUUUUUAAGGGACAGAGUUUCACUAUGCUCAGGCUGGACUCAAACUCCUGGGCACAAGUGAUCCUCCUGCCUCAGCCUCCUGAGUAGCCGGGACCAUAGGCACACACCACCACGCCCAGCUCAAACUAACAUUUGACUGCCUUGUGAAAUAUUACCUAGUCACUAUCCCAGGUCCCUGACAGCAUAGACCAGCAAAACAUUAGAAUGACACCAGACCUAUUAUAACUGCAAGCCAUGAACAGGAUUUCAAGAAAAGAGAUGGAAGAAUGUUCAGAUUCCUAAAAAUCUUCUUAAAAGAGAACUCCUAGCUUUCCACAAAAUUCACUUAAUUUCUUAAGUGAUUUUUGUCUUUUAAAAGCACAAUAAAGAGCAAUCAGAUGUUG
This is a long non-coding RNA of Pan troglodytes (chimpanzee), 4555 nucleotides long. RefSeq lists it as uncharacterized. NCBI's taxonomy places the organism in Eukaryota, Metazoa, Chordata, Mammalia, Primates, Hominidae. The record is from RefSeq and is a predicted model, not a curated record. The transcript has 5 exons.